Molecule: ribosomal RNA, 492 nt
Filed under: uncultured bacterium
Lineage: Bacteria
Description: partial 16S ribosomal RNA
Rfam family: Bacterial small subunit ribosomal RNA
Source: RNAcentral
AGUGAACGCUGGCGGUAGGCCUAACACAUGCAAGUCGAACGGCAGCACAGUAAGAGCUUGCUCUUACGGGUGGCGAGUGGCGGACGGGUGAGGAAUACAUCGGAAUCUACUUUUUCGUGGGGGAUAACGUAGGGAAACUUACGCUAAUACCGCAUACGACCUACGGGUGAAAGCAGGGGAUCUUCGGACCUUGCGCGAUUGAAUGAGCCGAUGUCGGAUUAGCUAGUUGGCGGGGUAAAGGCCCACCAAGGCGACGAUCCGUAGCUGGUCUGAGAGGAUGACCACCCACAAUGGAACUGAGCCGCGGCCCAGCCUCCAGCGGGGGCCGCAGUUGGGGAAUUUUGAAAAGGGGGGGCAGGCCUGAUCCACCCAUCCCGGGUGGUUAAAAAGGGCUUUGGGUUUUAAAACCCUUUUUUUGGGGAAAAAAAAGGAGCAGGUUAAUCCCCCGGUUUUCGGGGGUUCCCCAAAAAAAAGGCCCCGGCUACUUUGGUG